GAUGAACGCUAGCUACAGGCUUAACACAUGCAAGUCGAGGGGCAGCAUUUCAGUUUGCUUGCAAACUGGAGAUGGCGACCGGCGCACGGGUGAGUAACACGUAUCCAACCUGCCGAUAACUCGGGGAUAGCCUUUCGAAAGAAAGAUUAAUACCCGAUGGUAUAAUCAGACCGCAUGGUCUUGUUAUUAAAGAAUUUCGGUUAUCGAUGGGGAUGCGUUCCAUUAGGCAGUUGGUGAGGUAACGGCUCACCAAACCUUCGAUGGAUAGGGGUUCUGAGAGGAAGGUCCCCCACAUUGGAACUGAGACACGGUCCAAACUCCUACGGGAGGCAGCAGUGAGGAAUAUUGGUCAAUGGGCGCAGGCCUGAACCAGCCAAGUAGCGUGAAGGAUGACUGCCCUAUGGGUUGUAAACUUCUUUUAUAUGGGAAUAAAGUUUUCCACGUGUGGAAUUUUGUAUGUACCAUAUGAAUAAGGAUCGGCUAACUCCGUGCCAGCAGCCGCGGUAAUACGGAGGAUCCGAGCGUUAUCCGGAUUUAUUGGGUUUAAAGGGAGCGUAGGUGGACAGUUAAGUCAGUUGUGAAAGUUUGCGGCUCAACCGUAAAAUUGCAGUUGAUACUGGCUGUCUUGAGUACAGUAGAGGUGGGCGGAACUCGUGGUGUAGCGGUGAAAUGCUUAGAUAUCACGAAGAACUCCGAUUGCGAAGGCAGCUCACUGGACUGCAACUGACACUGAUGCUCGAAAGUGUGNGUAUNCAACAGG
RNAcentral lists this ribosomal RNA (760 nucleotides) under uncultured bacterium. RNAcentral's name for it is "bacterial SSU rRNA". It matches the Rfam family "Bacterial small subunit ribosomal RNA", at positions 28 to 776 of the family's 1533-position model. The record is from RNAcentral.